CAGUCAUACCAACGGGAAAUCAACCUUUUGAGCUCGGUCUCGUGGGUUUUGAAGAGUUUCAAAGCCUUCGGAUUCGCGGGAUUGUGGGAUCUCUUGGUGUUACUUUUUCGUACGGUUAGUUAACAUCAAUUUUGGUUAUCAUAAAAUGGUUGGAGGAAUGUAGCUUCGAUCUCGUAUUGAAGUGUUAUAGCCUUCGGCAGAUGUGAUGAUCGAGAUUGAGGGAUUG
This 226-nucleotide ribosomal RNA is filed under the name Funneliformis mosseae. Lineage: Eukaryota; Fungi; Glomeromycota; Glomeromycetes; Glomerales; Glomeraceae. The record is from RNAcentral.